UCUUAUCCCUGAGUACAUGCUAGCAUUCACUCUGCUAACCGUCUUCCAGCGUUAUAUCCUCACGCGAUGUAGAAAUUAGCCAUAUAUCAUUCCUCCUGCUCAGUGACUUAGAUUCAGGGACAGCUUUGAGUCAGAUUGAAGUGGUGAUCUUCUAUACUCUAGAAGGCUCCAUUUCAUUGCAAUGGACUUCUUUUGUUUUUAUUAUUUCUUUGGUUUGAUUUUGGCUAUGGUCGGGGGCAUG
This 241-nucleotide long non-coding RNA is filed under the name Capsicum annuum. RNAcentral describes it as "long non-coding RNA (CANN_LNC011177)". Lineage: Eukaryota; Viridiplantae; Streptophyta; Magnoliopsida; Solanales; Solanaceae. The record is from RNAcentral.